GUUUCUGUAGUGUAGUGGUUAUCAUGUUCGCCUCACAUGUGAAAGGUCCCUGGUUCGGAACGAGGCAGAAACA
Non-coding RNA from Chelonia mydas (Green sea turtle), 73 nucleotides. The record is from Rfam. Lineage: Eukaryota; Metazoa; Chordata; Testudines; Cheloniidae.